Molecule: ribosomal RNA, 617 nt
Filed under: uncultured bacterium
Lineage: Bacteria
Description: bacterial SSU rRNA
Rfam family: Bacterial small subunit ribosomal RNA
Source: RNAcentral
GACAUGGACGCAGUCUGAUCCAUUCAUUCCGCGUGCAGGACGAAGGCCUUCGGGUUGUAAACUGCUUUUGUACGGAACGAAAAAGCCUUGGUUAAUACCCAGUGCUCCAUGACGGUACCGUAAGAAUAAGCACCGGCUAACUACGUGCCAGCAGCCGCGGUAAUACGUAGGGUGCAAGCGUUAAUCGGAAUUACUGGGCGUAAAGCGUGUGCAGGCGGUUAUAUAAGACAGAUGUGAAAUCCCCGAGCUUAACUUGGGAACUGCAUUUGUGACUGUAUAGCUAGAGUACGGCAGAGGGGGAUGGAAUUCCGCGUGUAGCAGUGAAAUGCGUAGAUAUGCGGAGGAACACCGAUGGCGAAGGCAAUCCCCUGGGCCUGUACUGACGCUCAUGCACGAAAGCGUGGGGAGCAAACAGGAUUAGAUACCCUGGUAGUCCACGCCCUAAACGAUGUCAACUGGUUGUUGGGUCUUCACUGACUCAGUAACGAAGCUAACGCGUGAAGUUGACCGCCUGGGGAGUACGGACGCAAGGUUGAAAACUCAACGGAAUUGACGGGGACCCGUACAAGCGGUGGAUGAUGUGGUUUAAUUCGAUGCAACGCCGAAAAACUUACCAC